AGUAGUAGCAGCUUUAAUGGUGGUUGUAGCACUAGUGGUACUGUGGACAUGGCGGUUCGUGAAGUGGGUCUGGAUAAAACCGAAGAUGCUUGAGAAUUACCUGAGAAGACAGGGUCUUGCCGGAACCUCUUACACGCCUCUCGUCGGAGAUAUAAAGAGGAAUGUUGAUAUGAUGAUGGAGGCGAGAUCUAAACCCAUCAAGAUAACGGAUGAUAUCACCCCACGUCUCCUUCCUCUUGCCUUGAAGAUGUUCAAUUCUCACGGUAUAGUGUCUUUCUUCGCUUUCCUUUUUUGUUUCAGCAGAGUUUGGGAGUUGAAUAGUGUUUGAGUUAUGUUGAUGGAACAGGAAAGACUUUCUUCAUAUGGAUUGGACCAAUUCCAGCGAUCAUGAUAACGAAUCCUGAGCAGAUCAAGGAAGUCUUUAAUAAGAUCUAUGACUUUGAGAAGGCUGCUACAUUCCCUUUGUUCAGAUUGUUAGCAGGCGGGCUCGCGAGCUAUAAAGGAGAUAAAUGGGCGAGUCAUAGGAGGAUCAUCAACCCGGCUUUUCACCUCGAGAAGAUCAAGGUUUUUGUUUUUGGCUGUUGUCUACAUCCAGUUAGACUGUAUGUGUGUGUGAUCGUUUUACCAACCAUGUUUUCUUUGGUAUACAGAACAUGGUUCCUGCGUUCUACCACUGUUGCAGCGAGGUUGUCUGCCAAUGGGAGAGGCUAUUUACGGAUAAAGAAUCGUCGUCUCUUGAAGUCGAUGUUUGGCCUUGGCUUGUGAAUAUGACUGCGGAUGUAAUCUCGCAUACUGCUUUUGGAAGCAGCUAUAAAGAAGGGCAGAGGAUAUUUCAACUCCAAGGGGAAUUAGCUCAACUCAUUGCACAAGCUUUUAAGAAAUCUUACAUCCCUGGAUUGAGGUAAAACCAUUUGUCAUGUCAUAAACUAAACUUUGAAGAUUGUGAGCUUAUGAGAAGUUGUUGUCUGGUGUAGGUUUUACCCAACAAAGAACAAUAGAAGGAUGAAAGCAAUAGACAGAGAAAUAGAUGUAAUACUGAGAGGAAUUGUGAGCAAACGAGAGAAGGCGAGAGAAACUGGAGAAGUGUUGGAUGAUGAUUUAUUGGGGAUAUUGCUUGAAUCAAAUUCUGGGGAAUCUCAAGGAAAUGGAAUGAGCGUAGAAGAAGUGAUGAAAGAGUGCAAGUUGUUUUAUUUUGCGGGUCAAGAAACAACGUCAGUUAUGUUGGUCUGGACUAUGGUCUUAUUGAGCCAUCACCAAGACUGGCAAGCUCGCGCACGAGAGGAAGUAAGGCACAUACUUAGUGAUGAUAAUAAACCCGAUAUAGAUUCUCUCAGCAACCUCAAAGUCGUAAGUGAACAAAAAUCGCUACUUCCAUCAUCCUCUUGCAUCGGAAAACUGCAUAUAUAGUUACCAAAAUCACUUGAACUUCAAUUUAAAGUUUGCCGUUGAAUGGUUUUUCAACAGAUGACUAUGAUCUUCAAUGAGGUUUUGAGGCUAUACCCUCCGGUGGCUCAGCUUAAACGAGCUGUCAACAAAGAAAUAAAGCUAGGUGAGGUUACCAUUCCAGCUGGAGUUCAAGUUUAUAUUCCUACUAUUAUUGUCCAUCACGACACCGAGCUUUGGGGAGAUGAUGCAGCGGAUUUUAAGCCAGAGCGGUUCAGAGACGGGCUCUCAAAGGCAACAAAGAACCAGGUCUCUUUUUUUCCUUUCGGAUGGGGACCAAGGAUCUGCAUCGGUCAGAGUUUUGCUCUCUUGGAGGCAAAGAUGGCAAUGGCUUUGAUUCUUCAGAAAUUCUCCUUCGAGCUUUCUCCUUCCUAUGUUCACGCACCUCAAACAGUAAUGACCACACGUCCUCAAUUCGGAGCUCAUCUCAUCCUGCACAAGCUCUGAGCUUUGAAUUUCCAAGAUGACGUGAUCAAAAGUCACUGUUCUGUAAGAAAAAGAUGUCAUAGAAAGGCUUAUAUAGUCAUAGGUUUUGAAGGUUUCAAAUUUGUCUCUGAAAUUAGUCGCUAUUCGCUAAGGUUAAGGUCUUUUUCAGUCAAGUCUUAAGGUCGUUUUCCUUUGUGGCUGCAUUAUUAAUCUUGAAAAGUCUAUAUUAAGAAGCUAAUUUUAACUCUACCAUCUUCUAGAUAUGAUACGAUAUUCAGUGACUCAUCUCCAAUUUUCAUCAGUUUUCAAAGUUUUGCUGCUUUACUGUAAUGUUGGAGAAAGUUCCAAACUUUAGAGUAAGGGAAAUGUUGGAGAGUUAACUGUCCAAUCUCCCAUAAUCAUAACUCAAUAUGCUUUGGAUGCACACCAUCACUACACCAGCAAGCAACACUUCAUCCUCAGUCUCAGUCUGGUCUUUUGAACGGGUUCUUGAUGGUGCAUUGACCAUUCUUCACCUGCAAGGCUUCAACUACUUUUGCCGUCUGAGGAAGUGUUGCAGAAAGUACAUAGCUAUAGAAAUUUGGAGAGUUCAUUAUAUCUAAUCUUGCAAUUCCAUAAAUUUCUACGGAGACCUCUCGGCGUCUGACUGAUAGGUACAAACGCGCUUAUCCUUCACCCCAAAAAGAGUUGAGAGAGCAGUUCAAUUCAUCAUGCUCAGUGGAACACUUUUCAAGAUUUAUCCAUUAAAUAAAUUACAAGAAGACAAGAGCAGAUGGAAAACCCUCCUCACACGAAAAGUACAGACAAAGCCCCUUUUCCGGCAAAGGAUUUGCACUGUAAAUUGUAUAAUCGAAACUCCACUGAAAGAAAAAAAGUCUCAAUCUUUAUAAAGACCCACGAAAACUUGCGGACUCCAGAGUGAGUGUGAGAAUCGGAGAUGUCUUAUUCAGUAGUAGUAGCUUUAGUGGUGGUUGUAGCACUGUGUAUAUGGCGGAUCGUGAAGUGGUUCUGGAUAAAACCGAAGAUGCUUGAGAAUUACCUGAGAAGACAGGGUCUUGCCGGAACCUCUUACACGCCUCUCGUCGGAGAUAUAAAGAGGAAUGUUGAUAUGAUGAUGGAGGCGAGAUCUAAACCCAUCAAUAUAACGGAUGAUAUCACCCCACGUCUCCUUCCUCUUGCCUUGAAGAUGCUAAAUUCUCACGGUAUAGUGUGUCUUUCUUCGCUUUUCUGAUUCAAAGAGUGCUCUUUUUGUUUCAGUAGAGUUGGGAAUUGAGUUUGACUCUGUUAGGUUAAUU
Molecule: long non-coding RNA, 3164 nt
Filed under: Arabidopsis lyrata
Lineage: Eukaryota; Viridiplantae; Streptophyta; Magnoliopsida; Brassicales; Brassicaceae
Description: long non-coding RNA (ALYR_LNC002299)
Source: RNAcentral